GACGAACGCUGGCGGCGUGCCUAACACAUGCAAGUUGAACGCGACCGGCUUGUACUUUUACCAACGGGAGGGGCAGGGGACGGGUGAGUAACGCGUGGUGGAUCUUCCUUUUAGCCGGGGAUCACAUUUGGGAACGAAUUCUUCUAACGCAUAAUAACUUUAAAAACAAGUUUUCAGUUUUAAAUAUGCCAUUGGAUCACUCAAAAGCCAUCCCGCGUUGUAUUACCUAGUUGGUGUGGGAAAGGCUAACCAAAGCGAUGAUACAUAACCGGCCUGCAAGGGUGAUCGGCCACAUUGGGACUGAGACACGGCCCAAAAUCCUACGGGAGGGAGCAGGAGGGGAUCUUCGGCAAUGGACGAAAGUCUGACCGAGCAACGCCGCGUGAGUGAAGAAGGUUUUCGGAUCGUAAAACUCUGUUGGUAGAGAAGAACGUUAGUGAGAGUGAAAAGCUCAUCAAGUGACGGUAACUACACAGAAAGGGACGGCUAACUACGUG
Molecule: ribosomal RNA, 497 nt
Filed under: uncultured bacterium
Lineage: Bacteria
Description: partial 16S ribosomal RNA
Rfam family: Bacterial small subunit ribosomal RNA
Source: RNAcentral